Molecule: ribosomal RNA, 499 nt
Filed under: uncultured bacterium
Lineage: Bacteria
Description: partial 16S ribosomal RNA
Rfam family: Bacterial small subunit ribosomal RNA
Source: RNAcentral
ACGCACGCUGGCGGCGUGCUUAACACAUGCAAGUCGAACGGGUCUGCCCUGUUUUUUGCGGGGUGGGUCAGUGGCGAACGGGUGAGUAACACGUGAGUAACCUGCCCCUCACUUCUGGAUAACCGCUUGAAAGGGUGGCUAAUACGGGGUGUUCUGGCUGUGCCGCAUGGUGUGGCUGGGAAAGAUUCACUUUUGUGGUGUUUUGGUGGGGGAUGGGCUCGCGGCCUAUCAGCUUGUUGGUGGGGUGAUGGCCUGCCAAGGCUUUGACGGGUAGCCGGCCUGAGAGGGUGGGCGGUCACACUGGGACUGAGAUACGGCCCAGACUCCUGCGGGAGGCAGCAGUGGGGGGUAUUGCACAAUGGGCGGAAGCCUGAUGCAGCGACGUCGCGUGAGGGAUGGAGGCCUUCGGGUUGUGAACCUCUUUCGCCGGUGAAGAAGGUCCUGCUCUUUGUGGGGGGGUUGACGGUAGCCGGGUUAUGAAGCGCCGGCUAACUACGUG